CUCCCUUCUCUCUCUCUCCUCCCACCAAAAUCUCAGUUUCUUCUCUCCCACCCAACCCAUAAUGCCAACACCGACUAUUGCACCUCCUCAGGACGUCUUUCUAUCGCUCCCUUAUCCCAUUCCACAAGAACAUCCUCCCCCGUUACCCCUCAUCUCGUGGCUCAAGAACAUCCUCCUUCGACGGCUAGCUGAGGUCGACAGCAAUGAGAGCAAUAAGAGAGAUGAGAGAUUCUUCAGUUCCUCCCAUGAUACAAUCAUCAAUGAUGAUCUGUUUGGUUGCUAGGAUUUGUUCCUCAUACUCCCAUUCUCUUGUAAUCUAUUUUCGAAAUUUAUUUAGUUGAAAUUUUGUUAAUUUCGUAAUGGGUGGUGGUUGGG
This 375-nucleotide unclassified non-coding RNA is filed under the name Hevea brasiliensis (rubber tree). The record is from RNAcentral. Lineage: Eukaryota; Viridiplantae; Streptophyta; Magnoliopsida; Malpighiales; Euphorbiaceae.